RNAcentral lists this ribosomal RNA (253 nucleotides) under uncultured bacterium. RNAcentral describes it as "partial 16S ribosomal RNA". It matches the Rfam family "Bacterial small subunit ribosomal RNA", at positions 524 to 776 of the family's 1533-position model. The record is from RNAcentral.
UACGUAGGGGGCAAGCGUUGUCCGGAUUUAUUGGGCGUAAAGAGCGUGUAGGCGGCUUUACAGGUCCGUUGUGAAAACUCGAGGCUCAACCUCGAGACGCCGGUGGAAACCGUAAAGCUAGAGUCCGGAAGAGGAGAGUGGAAUUCCUGGUGUAGCGGUGAAAUGCGCAGAUAUCAGGAGGAACACCCGUGGCGAAAGCGGCCACCUGGACUGCACCUGACGCUGACACGCGAAAGCUAGGGGAGCGAACGGG